GAUUGAACGCUGGCGGCAUGCUUUACACAUGCAAGUCGAACGGCAGCGGGGUAGUGCUUGCACUACUGCCGGCGAGUGGCGAACGGGUGAGUAAUAUAUCGGAACGUACCGAGUAAUGGGGGAUAACCAAUCGAAAGAUUGGCUAAUACCGCAUACGUCCUGAGGGAGAAAGCGGGGGAUCGCAAGACCUCGCGUUAUUCGAGCGGCCGAUAACUGAUUAGCUAGUUGGUGGGGUAAAGGCCUACCAAGGCGACGAUCAGUAGCGGGUCUGAGAGGACGAUCCGCCACACUGGGACUGAGACACGGCCCAGACUCCUACGGGAGGCAGCAGUGGGGAAUUUUGGACAAUGGGGGCAACCCUGAUCCAGCCAUGCCGCGUGUAUGAAGAAGGCCUUCGGGUUGUAAAGUACUUUUGUUAGGGAAGAAAAGGGAAGUGCUAAUACCACUUUUUGCUGACGGUACCUAAAGAAUAAGCACCGGCUAACUACGUG
This 491-nucleotide ribosomal RNA is filed under the name uncultured bacterium. Its description in RNAcentral is "partial 16S ribosomal RNA". It matches the Rfam family "Bacterial small subunit ribosomal RNA", at positions 27 to 507 of the family's 1533-position model. The record is from RNAcentral.